Molecule: long non-coding RNA, 1962 nt
Organism: Clupea harengus (Atlantic herring)
Lineage: Eukaryota; Metazoa; Chordata; Actinopteri; Clupeiformes; Clupeidae
Source: Ensembl
CUGCAGAGCGGGGAACCAGCACCUGUGUGCAGUUCUACGAGGAUCUAAAUCCUAUUAUGAAAAGAAGGUGGGAGGGAGGGGUGGGGGGGCAGUGUGUAAGCUGGGUUCAGUGUGUCCAUAAGCUCGCCCAUGUUGGUGACUGAGAGUGUAGUAUGUCUAUAAGCCUGUCCAUGCUGGUUAGGGGGAGUCUAGAGUUGCUGUGAGUUUGCCCAUAUUAGUUGGUGACCCAGUGGCAUGACGUAAAGACCAUCCAUUUCUCUGGGACCGAGGAUCAACAGGGCAGGAAGGGGAACGAGGGGAGAGGCGCUACUUCUGCUGUGAAAGAGCCUACGUGAGGAUCUGUCUAUGCACCUGACUACACACCUCAUUUACCCAAAAAGGUUGAUAUUUUUAAUUAUUUCACUUUAAUCUUUAUUAUUAUUAUUAUUAUCUUUAUUAUUAUGACAUGCGUUUGGGAGAGGCUUGACCUUUAAAGAACUGCAAUUGUACAGUGAGUCGUACAACUGCAGUGUAUUGAAGAUUAUUAUCUGACCGAAGAAUUGUGAUCAAACUAAAUCUUGACAUCCAUAGUGAUUCCCACAGCUGCUGUUGAACAGAAUUUCUCUACACAUCUCCUCACCAGUAAGUGUCCGCCUGGGUUGUUCUCUACAGUUUCCAGAUGCCUCUCCAAAAGGACAUCCUCAAACAAGUCUGGACAGAGGACAGGUGAGUGAGCAUCAACUCACGUCAGGUCAAGUUCACCGUCACACGUCGGGCAUAGCUGUCAUGGUCCAGUGCUGGACAUGAAACAACCCUUUUUGGAGGACUGACUAAAUUCCAGUAGAUAGACCCAAUCCCUGGGGGUGGUAGAUAGACCCAAUCCCUGGGGGUGGUAGAUAGACCCAAUCCCUGGGGGUGGUAGAUAGACCCAAUCCCUGGGGGUGGUAGAUAGACCCAAUCCCUGGAGGUGGUAGAUAGACCCAAUCCCUGGGGGUGGUAGAUAGAUCCAAUCCCUGGGGGUGGUAGAUAGACCCAAUCCCUGGAGGUGGUAGGUCCCUCAGCUGUUGUUGCCGAGCGCUCACGCUUUUAGCGAUGACUAUAAAUACAUGGCCUGGUUUUCCCACAGUGUCAAGGCGGACGUCGGUGCCAAACCUAUCAGUGGUGAGGGGGAAAGUUGUAUUGUUAGUAGCGGUGAUUAGGUUCACAGCCCAGCGCUGGGUGACAUUCAAGAGCCCGCCUAGCCUUUCCGACGCCUUGGUGACACACUUCAGCUCCUGCAAGGACAGACUACAGGGCGCAGGGACGACUGAACAGAGCGACUGAAACACCAGCUGCUGCACAUAGUGCCCAAGGCUGUAAGAGAUCGGGCAAAUUACACUUCCAGGAACACACAGGGUCAACAAAAGGCCCUGCAAGUAAUAGAGGAGGGUUGGAACAAGGAAGUAUCACACUUGAUCACAUGAUAGCAAUAUAGCAGCGCAUGACCUCUCAGUUUACCAUUGUGUCGUAAGGCAAUUAUACUGGCACGUACAGUACAAUCUAGCAGAUGUCUUCACUUCCCCUUUUUAGUUCUAUAGAAAAGCCACGAUUGUAGAUCCCUAUAGAUUUGAACAGAUUCAUGUCAGUGAGGCAUUUUCAUAUACUACAUUUCAACAGGGAACAUACACAAUAGGAUGUGAAAGGUAACGGGGGAACUAUAGGUUGAAGAGGUGCAACACUUUUAAAUGAUGAAAACAUAACGUAACAACUUUAGCUAUAACGUAUGUGGAUAGCAUAACAUAAUAACUUUAACUAUAACGUAUGUGGAUAGCAUAACAUAUUAACUUUAGUGAUAACGUAUGUGGAUAGCAAAACAUAAUAACUUUAGCUAUAACGUAUCAGAAUCAGAAUCAGAAUUGGAUUUAUUACUUUAGCGAUAACAUACGUAUGUGGAUAGCAUAACGUAAUAACUUUAGCUAUAACGUAUGUGGAUAGCAUAACGAG